UUAGCUCUCUUUGCCUUUUGGCUUAGAUCAAGUGUAGUAUCUGUUCUUUUCAGUUUAAUAUCUGAAAUUGCUCUACGGAGCAUAUUCGUUAUUAAUCUUAUUUUUGAAUCUCGGAGGAAGGCCCUCUGGGCUUGCCCAUGACCUACCUUCACUGUGUCCUUGGUACCACACUGCCUCCAAGCGACGCGAACUCGA
This 195-nucleotide small nuclear RNA is filed under the name Grosmannia clavigera kw1407. RNAcentral's name for it is "U2 spliceosomal RNA". It matches the Rfam family "U2 spliceosomal RNA". From Rfam's summary of the family: U2 is a small nuclear RNA (snRNA) component of the spliceosome (involved in pre-mRNA splicing). Complementary binding between U2 snRNA (in an area lying towards the 5' end but 3' to hairpin I) and the branchpoint sequence (BPS) of the intron results the bulging out of an unpaired adenosine, on the BPS, which initiates a nucleophilic attack at the intronic 5' splice site, thus starting the first of two transesterification reactions that mediate splicing. Lineage: Eukaryota; Fungi; Ascomycota; Sordariomycetes; Ophiostomatales; Ophiostomataceae. The record is from Rfam by way of RNAcentral.